This 459-nucleotide ribosomal RNA is filed under the name uncultured bacterium. Its description in RNAcentral is "partial 16S ribosomal RNA". It matches the Rfam family "Bacterial small subunit ribosomal RNA", at positions 338 to 795 of the family's 1533-position model. The record is from RNAcentral.
CCUACGGUAGGCAGCCGUGAGGAAUAUUGGUCAAUGGGCGCGAGCCUGAACCAGCCAAGUCGCGUGAGGGAAGACGGUCCUAUGGAUUGUAAACCUCUUUUGUCGGGGAGCAAAAGACGCCACGCGUGGCGUUCCGAGAUUACCCGAAGAAACAGCAUCGGCUAACUCCGUGCCAGCAGCCGCGGUAAUACGGAGGAUGCGAGCGUUAUCAGGAUUGAUUGGGUUUAAAGGGUGCGCUGGCGGAGGAUCAAGUGAGCGGUAAGAUUGAGAGGCACAAGCUCUUCGAGCCGUUGAAAAUGGUUUUCUUGAGUGAGUGAGAAGUAUGAGGAAUGCGUGGUGUAGCGGUGAAAUGCAUAGAUAUCACACAGAACUCCGAUUGCGAAGGCAGCAUACCGGCGCUCAACUGACGCUCAUGCACGAAAGUGUGGGUAUCGAACAGGAUUAGAUACCCCAGUAGUC